CCGGCGCACGGGUGAGUAACACGUAUCCAACCUGCCGUCUACUCUUGGCCAGCCUUCUGAAAGGAAGAUUAAUCCAGGAUGGGAUCAUGAGUUCACAUGUCCGCAUGAUUAAAGGUAUUUUCCGGUAGACGAUGGGGAUGCGUUCCAUUAGAUAGUAGGCGGGGUAACGGCCCACCAAGCUUCGAUGGAUAGGGGUUCUGAGAGGAAGGUCCCCCACAUUGGAACUGAGACACGGUCCAA
Molecule: ribosomal RNA, 240 nt
Filed under: uncultured bacterium
Lineage: Bacteria
Description: partial 16S ribosomal RNA
Rfam family: Bacterial small subunit ribosomal RNA
Source: RNAcentral